Molecule: long non-coding RNA, 381 nt
Organism: Eptesicus fuscus (big brown bat)
Lineage: Eukaryota; Metazoa; Chordata; Mammalia; Chiroptera; Vespertilionidae
Exons: 4
Source: RefSeq, a predicted model, not a curated record
CCUUGCUUGCUUGAAAGAUCAUUAUGUAUUGCUAAAUAAAUCCUGGCUCCUUUUUAUUCUGUAGCCUGCUACAGAGUUGUACAGGGGAGCCAAUGUUUCUGUGGCUAGCUCAAUGCCCAGUUUCUCAAGCAUCUCUACCUUGAGUAACAGUAUUCUACGUUCAAGGCUUGCUAGCUACAGUGCUACUCCAAAAGCCUUCAGGAAUAUAAGUCUGUUCUAAAUAUUCUUGCAGUGGCAGCAAAGUGGGACCAGCAGGAGACAUUCAGGAGAGACACACAGACAGAAGAGAAGCCUCAGGCACACAGAAAAGAAGGGGCUGUGAAGACAGAGGCAGGAAUUGGAGUGAUCCAGCUGCAAGGAACUGGGGAAGCCACCAGAAGU